AGCUAGAGUUUGAUCCUGGCUCAGAGCGAACGCUGGCGGCAGGCCUAAUACAUGCAAGUCGAACGCACCUUCGGGUGAGUGGCGGACGGGUGAGUAACGCGUGGGAACGUGCCCAAAGGUACGGAACAACUGAGGGAAACUUCAGCUAAUACCGUAUGUGCCCUUAGGGGGAAAGAUUUAUCGCCUUUGGAGCGGCCCGCGUUGGAUUAGCUAGUUGGUGGGGUAAAGGCCUACCAAGGCUACGAUCCAUAGCUGGUCUGAGAGGAUGAUCAGCCACACUGGGACUGAGACGCGGCCCAGACUCCUACGGGAGGCAGCAGUGGGGAAUAUUGGACAAUGGGGGCAACCCUGAUCCAGCAAUGCCGCGUGGGCGAUGAAGGCCUUCGGGUUGUAAAGCCCUUUUGCACGCGACGAUGAUGACGGUAGCGUGAGAAGAAGCCCCGGCUAACUUCGUGCCAGCAGCCGCGGUACGC
This 473-nucleotide ribosomal RNA is filed under the name uncultured bacterium. RNAcentral describes it as "bacterial SSU rRNA". It matches the Rfam family "Bacterial small subunit ribosomal RNA", at positions 1 to 525 of the family's 1533-position model. The record is from RNAcentral.